AGCCACACCAGGCAGCUGUGUUUCAGCAAAAAGGCUGCCGGGCUCGACUCAUCGACUUCUAAGGGGCAGCCCUACUGCAGAUGGUGUUGCCAGGCACUUCUUUUCCCCUGCGAUGAGCAUGGAGGGUUCUGCUGUCACCACAGCUCCACUCCCGCAGUGCGGGCACCACAAACACCCAGUAGGAAUCACCAGUGCAGCAACAAUGAUGAGAACCCUCCUCUCUCUUCCUGUUCUUUUAACAGUGGUGGAAAGUAACUAAGUACGUUCACUCAGAGGGCACUGUUAGGAGAGAGCACAGAUCAUGAGUGUAUUCUGCCCAAGCUCCUUCUCCAUGAGGACACACAAGGAGAGGAAAAGAAAGGAUGAAAAAAG
Molecule: long non-coding RNA, 372 nt
Organism: Xiphias gladius (swordfish)
Lineage: Eukaryota; Metazoa; Chordata; Actinopteri; Istiophoriformes; Xiphiidae
Exons: 3
Source: RefSeq, a predicted model, not a curated record